AUUGAACGCUGGCGGCAUGCCUUACACAUGCAAGUCGAACGGCAGCAUGAUCUAGCUUGCUAGAUUGAUGGCGAGUGGCGAACGGGUGAGUAAUACAUCGGAACGUGCCCUGUAGUGGGGGAUAACUAGUCGAAAGAUUAGCUAAUACCGCAUACGACCUGAGGGUGAAAGUGGGGGACCGCAAGGCCUCAUGCUAUAGGAGCGGCCGAUGUCUGAUUAGCUAGUUGGUGGGGUAAAGGCCCACCAAGGCGACGAUCAGUAGCUGGUCUGAGAGGACGAUCAGCCACACUGGGACUGAGACACGGCCCAGACUCCUACGGGAGGCAGCAGUGGGGAAUUUUGGACAAUGGGGGCAACCCUGAUCCAGCAAUGCCGCGUGUGUGAAGAAGGCCUUCGGGUUGUAAAGCACUGUUGUCCGGAAAGAAAUCGCACUUACUAAUAUUAGGUGUGGAUGACGGUACCGGAAGAAUAAGGACCGGCUAACUACGUG
This 490-nucleotide ribosomal RNA is filed under the name uncultured bacterium. RNAcentral describes it as "partial 16S ribosomal RNA". It matches the Rfam family "Bacterial small subunit ribosomal RNA", at positions 30 to 507 of the family's 1533-position model. The record is from RNAcentral.